AAAACCUUCUCACAGAAAAUGUGGUAUUGGUAGAAGUGGGUAGUACUAACAAAUAGUACUUUGUCUUACUCUACUGAAAUGAAUAGGCCAGUAAAGUGGACCAUGGUUGUAGACUCUAGGAGUAUUGUAAAAUGCUAAACUAGUCUUCACCAGGUGUAGAUCCUGAGCUAAAUGGACACCCCCUUUAGUCCAAAUCAGAGA
This 201-nucleotide unclassified non-coding RNA is filed under the name uncultured Tuber. RNAcentral's name for it is "sequence contains ITS2". Lineage: Eukaryota; Fungi; Ascomycota; Pezizomycetes; Pezizales; Tuberaceae. The record is from RNAcentral.